Molecule: unclassified non-coding RNA, 338 nt
Filed under: soil metagenome
Description: partial contains 5.8S ribosomal RNA, internal transcribed spacer 2, and large subunit ribosomal RNA
Rfam family: 5.8S ribosomal RNA (bases 1-120)
Source: RNAcentral
GAUGAAGAACGCAGCGAAAUGCGAAAAGUAAUGUGAAUUGCAGAAUUCAGUGAAUCAUCGAAUCUUUGAACGCACAUUGCGCCCGCCAGUAUUCUGGCGGGCAUGCCUGUCUGAGCGUCAUUUCAACCCUCAAGCAACUUCUGCUUGGUGUUGGGGAUCGGCCGUCAAACGCCGCCCCCGAAAUCUAUUGGCGAUCUCGCUGUAGCUUCCUAUGCGUAGUAGUAACAUCUCGCAUCUGGAGAGCGGCGCGGUCAUGCCGUAAAACACCCAACUUCUCAGGUUGACCUCAGAUCAGGUAGGAAUACCCGCUGAACUUAAGCAUAUCAAUAAGCGGAGGA